Molecule: ribosomal RNA, 214 nt
Filed under: uncultured Anoxybacillus sp.
Lineage: Bacteria; Bacillati; Bacillota; Bacilli; Caryophanales; Anoxybacillaceae
Description: partial 16S ribosomal RNA
Rfam family: Bacterial small subunit ribosomal RNA
Source: RNAcentral
AGGAAGGUGGGGAUGACGUCAAAUCAUCAUGCCCUUAUGACCUGGGCUACACACGUGCUACAAUGGGCGGUACAAAGGGUCGCGAACCCGCAGGGGGAGCCAAUCCCAAAAAGCCGCUCUCAGUUCGGAUUGCAGGCUGCAACUCGCCUGCAUGAAGCCGGAAUCGUUAGUAAUCGCGGAUCAGCAUGCCGCGGUGAAUACGUUCCCGGGCCUU